This is a long non-coding RNA of Lolium rigidum, 704 nucleotides long. RefSeq lists it as uncharacterized. The record is from RefSeq and is a predicted model, not a curated record. NCBI's taxonomy places the organism in Eukaryota, Viridiplantae, Streptophyta, Magnoliopsida, Poales, Poaceae. The transcript has 3 exons.
CAGAUUGAAGAAAAGAAUACAGGACGACGGGCGUGAUGGCCGCCGAUUCGCGCGGCCCUCCUUCUUCUUGCAUGCUCUUCUCCUUAUCGCUCCGGGGCAACGAAUGAUUUCUGAGAGGUGCGCCCUCUUCCUGUCCUCCCUCCUUCUCCAUUUGAUUUGGUCGCCAGGCGUAAGAAGAUUAGCUCACGGUCGUGAAUGUCUUCUGCAUGAGACCUGUUUGUGGAUAUGCCGGCGUACACUACCGUUGAUUGUUGUGAUCGUCGGCUAUCGGAACUGCAAGAUGAGGUCCAUCUGCCUGGAUUGGUUAUCAAGAAGAGCAUCCAUGGGGCCAUGGUGGCUGCCACGAGCAGACAUGCUGGGGUAUCUGGUAAAAAAGAACUAUACAAUUAUACAAUUAAGUUGAUGGCAAUGUUGGGAGUGUUUGGAGCAAUUAUUAAUAUCAUAAAGAUGUCUAACCGUGACUAUCAUUUGACUGCAACUUCAUUGGCAAAUAUGCCUCAGCUUCAUUGGGAAAUAUGUCACACUUCAUUAUUCUUGAGCGAGAAGAACUUCAUUCUAUUAAAUGGAAUUCGUGUGCUGCAAUUAGCGACUGCAACUUCCUUGGCAAAUAGGCCUCCGUGUGACUUGUGGCGCGAUGAUUUCCUCGGAAAGGUACCGGUAUGUGUGCGCCGGUAACAACUCGUCAAGCAGGCCAGCGCUACAGU